AGAGUUUCGUAGUCCUGGCGUCAGGACGUAACGCUGCGGCGUGCUUACACAUGCAAGUCGAGCGGGCGUAGCAAUACGUCAGCGGCGGAACGGGUGAGUAACGACGUGAGCAAUCUGCCUCUACCAAUGGGAUAACACUUAGAAAUAGGUGCUAAUACCGUAUAAGACCACGAGCCUGCAUGGGCAUGUGGUAAAAGCUCCGACGGGUAGAGAUGAGCUCGCGUCCCAUUAGCUAGUUGGUAGGGUAACGGCCUACCAAGGCGACGAUGGGUAGCCGACCUGAGAGGGUGAUCGGCCACAUUGGAACUGAGAAACGGUCCAAACUCCUACGGGAGGCAGCAGUGGGGAAUAUUGGGCAAUGGGCGCAAGCCUGACCCAGCAACGCCGCGUGAAGGAUGAAGGUUUUCGGAUUGUAAACUUCUGUCGCGAGGGACGAAGAAUGACGGUACCUCGUAAGAAAGCCCCGGCUAACUACGCG
Molecule: ribosomal RNA, 478 nt
Filed under: uncultured bacterium
Lineage: Bacteria
Description: bacterial SSU rRNA
Rfam family: Bacterial small subunit ribosomal RNA
Source: RNAcentral